This 25-nucleotide transfer RNA is filed under the name Opuntia macbridei. Its description in RNAcentral is "partial tRNA-Phe". RNAcentral also lists the same sequence under 1 other name. Lineage: Eukaryota; Viridiplantae; Streptophyta; Magnoliopsida; Caryophyllales; Cactaceae. The record is from RNAcentral.
GUAGAGCAGAGGACUGAAAAUCCUC